RNAcentral lists this unclassified non-coding RNA (416 nucleotides) under soil metagenome. RNAcentral's name for it is "partial contains 5.8S ribosomal RNA, internal transcribed spacer 2, and large subunit ribosomal RNA". The stretch from base 1 to 120 matches the Rfam family "5.8S ribosomal RNA", at positions 35 to 154 of the family's 154-position model. The record is from RNAcentral.
GAUGAAGAACGCAGCGAAAUGCGAUAAGUAAUGUGAAUUGCAGAAUUCAGUGAAUCAUCGAAUCUUUGAACGCACCUUGCACUCCUUGGUAUUCCGAGGAGUACGCCUGUUCGAGUGUUAUGAAGCUCUCAAAACGCAAUUGGCUUAAAACCUGAUUGUCGUUUUGGAUUUGAACUUUGCCGUGUUAUAACGGCUGGUUUUAAAAGUAUUAGCUGGUACUAGAACGAAUUGGUUCUACUCAACGUGAUAAUUAUCUGAUCGUUGAGGACAUUCCUUUCACGAGGAAUGGCCAUAGUAAAUUCAAUGGACUGCUUCUAAUCUGGCUUUAAUUCUUUAUUGGAUUAACCACUUUUCAAAUCUGACCUCGAAUCAGGUGGGACUACCCGCUGAACUUAAGCAUAUCAAUAAGCGGAGGA